UGAGUAAUUUUUUGUGUAUCUCAUUAAAGGGAACAUUCUGGUAUUUAUACAUAUUAUCACUGUUCGUGAUUUGACUCCACUUUUCAUGGACUUGACCCCACUAUUCAUAGGACUGACAUUCUGAGCAGGCAUCGGGCAUGUUGAACACGUGUACCGUUCUGGGUUGCCUUUUAGGCCUCACAGUCCCCUAUGUGCAAACUCCUUGGGUAUAUUCGAGCUGGGGCCGCGAACCCCUCUUAGCUCGUGCGAGUUGAUACUGCGAGCUCCCCUAGAUGUCCCUUUGCUGUACACCUCGCAAAAAUCCAUCUGAUAGGACUUGGGCGGGACGCGGGUGCACGACCCGGAUCUUACCUAGGUUUUGUAUUGGUGAUCAUUGGUGUAUAGCAAUAAUAUAUAAAAAAAAUACCUAUAAAUUUAAAAUAAUACACCGAAAGAUAUCGAUGACAGGCAUCACUAUCUAAGUAAAAACAAUACAUCUACUUACAUAAUACUUAUUAUCUUAAUUUCCCAUAAAUAAAAUCUCCUGACAGAGUUUUAUAGAAUUACUCUUGUAAAAUUGGCAAAAGAAGAUUUUUAAAUUUUGGCAUACUUUUGAAAAUAUUUGUUUAAAAGAAAAAACAGCACAUGAUGUUCAUUAAUGAAUAAAA
This 647-nucleotide long non-coding RNA is filed under the name Gossypium raimondii (Peruvian cotton). RNAcentral describes it as "long non-coding RNA (GRAI_LNC004096)". Lineage: Eukaryota; Viridiplantae; Streptophyta; Magnoliopsida; Malvales; Malvaceae. The record is from RNAcentral.